Molecule: ribosomal RNA, 466 nt
Filed under: uncultured bacterium
Lineage: Bacteria
Description: partial 16S ribosomal RNA
Rfam family: Bacterial small subunit ribosomal RNA
Source: RNAcentral
GAUGAACGCUGGCGGCGUGCUUAACACAUGCAAGUCGAACGAUGAAGCCCAGCUUGCUGGGUGGAUUAGUGGCGAACGGGUGAGUAACACGUGAGUAACCUGCCCUUAACUCUGGGAUAAGCCUGGGAAACUGGGUCUAAUACCGGAUAGGAGCGUCCACCGCAUGGUGGGUGUUGGAAAGAUUUAUCGGUUUUGGAUGGACUCACGGCCUAUCAGCUUGUUGGUGAGGUAAUGGCUCACCAAGGCGACGACGGGUAGCCGGCAUGAGAGGGUGACCGGCCACACUGGGCCUGAGACAGGGCCCAGACUCCUACGGGAGGCAGCAGUGGGGAAUAUUGUACAAUGGGCGCAAGCCUGAUGCAGCGACGCCGCGUGAGGGAUGACGGCCUUCGGGUUGUAAACCUCUUUCAGUAGGGAAGAAGCGAAAGUGACGGUACCUGCAGAAGAAGCACCGGCUAACUACGUG